GGGGUCGUCAGCUAGUCUGGUUUAGGCUGCACGGUUCGGGCCCGUGAAAGCAUGGGUUCAAAUCCCAUCGACCCCACCA
Molecule: transfer RNA, 79 nt
Filed under: Nitrososphaeria archaeon
Lineage: Archaea; Thermoproteati; Nitrososphaerota; Nitrososphaeria
Description: tRNA-Pro
Rfam family: tRNA
About the family: Transfer RNA (tRNA) molecules are approximately 80 nucleotides in length.
Source: RNAcentral